GUAGGGAAUCUUCCGCAAUGGACGAAAGUCUGACGGAGCAACGCCGCGUGAGCGAAGAAGGUCUUCGGAUCGUAAAGCUCUGUUGUCAGGGAAGAACAAGUGCCGUUCGAACAGGGCGGUACCUUGACGGUACCUGACGAGGAAGCCACGGCUAACUACGUGCCAGCAGCCGCGGUAAUACGUAGGUGGCAAGCGUUGUCCGGAAUUAUUGGGCGUAAAGCGCGCGCAGGCGGUUCCUUAAGUCUGAUGUGAAAUCUCGCGGCUCAACCGCGAGCGGCCAUUGGAAACUGGGGAACUUGAGUGCAGGAGAGGGGAGCGGAAUUCCACGUGUAGCGGUGAAAUGCGUAGAGAUGUGGAGGAACACCAGUGGCGAAGGCGGCUCUCUGGCCUGUAACUGACGCUGAGGCGCGAAAGCGUGGGGAGCGAACAGGAUUAGAAACCCCAGUAGUCC
This 451-nucleotide ribosomal RNA is filed under the name uncultured bacterium. RNAcentral's name for it is "partial 16S ribosomal RNA". It matches the Rfam family "Bacterial small subunit ribosomal RNA", at positions 354 to 796 of the family's 1533-position model. The record is from RNAcentral.